AAGUCGUAACAAGGUUUCCGUAGGUGAACCUGCGGAAGGAUAAUUAUUGAAUUCAAAUCAUCUGUGGCUUCGGUCCGGAUGUGCCAACAGGUAACACUGUUGGUAAUUCUAUCCAUAACACCUGUGAACUGUUGGAUACUUGCAUCCACUUUUAUACUAAACAUUAUUGUAACAAAUGUAGUCUUAUUAUAACUAAUAAAACUUUUAACAACGGAUCUCUUGGCUCUC
This 228-nucleotide unclassified non-coding RNA is filed under the name air metagenome. Its description in RNAcentral is "partial contains small subunit ribosomal RNA, internal transcribed spacer 1, and 5.8S ribosomal RNA". The stretch from base 1 to 46 matches the Rfam family "Eukaryotic small subunit ribosomal RNA", at positions 1786 to 1831 of the family's 1831-position model. The record is from RNAcentral.